GCUCCAGUAGCUCAAUGGUAGGGCGCCAGACUUGUUAGUACCCCCACUAUUCAGACACACCUUAGUUUCACUUACUAACCAUAAUCCAGCUAAUCUGGAGAUUGCGGGUUCGAGUCCCGUCUGGAGUA
Transfer RNA from Aspergillus wentii DTO 134E9, 128 nucleotides. It matches the Rfam family "tRNA". Rfam says of the family: Transfer RNA (tRNA) molecules are approximately 80 nucleotides in length. Their secondary structure includes four short double-helical elements and three loops (D, anti-codon, and T loops). Further hydrogen bonds mediate the characteristic L-shaped molecular structure. tRNAs have two regions of fundamental functional importance: the anti-codon, which is responsible for specific mRNA codon recognition, and the 3' end, to which the tRNAs corresponding amino acid is attached (by aminoacyl-tRNA synthetases). tRNAs cope with the degeneracy of the genetic code in two manners: having more than one tRNA (with a specific anti-codon) for a particular amino acid; and 'wobble' base-pairing, i.e. permitting non-standard base-pairing at the 3rd anti-codon position. NCBI's taxonomy places the organism in Eukaryota, Fungi, Ascomycota, Eurotiomycetes, Eurotiales, Aspergillaceae. The record is from Rfam.